UUUUUUUUUUUUUUUUUUUUUUUUUUUUAAGUGAGAUCUUUUUUUAAAGCUUACGACUCUCUCCUGGGUAAAAACAGUGAUAGAGAAAUGUUGGCUUGGACUUACUACUCACUACAACUCUGCACAUUUUAUUUACUGAAGCUCAGGAAAGGACAAGGAUAAUCUUAAUAAAUUCUUGGGUUUUAUUUCCUGGACUGACUAAAACUGAGAAUUUAUAUUAUCCAUAGUAGGAUGAGGUCAUUAUAAUAAUGUGAUUACGUUUGUGUGAACCCAUGCAUGGCAAGUACAAUAUGCUCUUUUACCUUUUUAAACACAAAAUCCAAAUAGGAUGCUGUCUUAAUUUUUUAUUCCUUCAUAAUAAAUUAUCACAAAUUUAUCUGCUUAAAACAAUACCCAUUUAUUAUCUGACAGCUCCCAUGGAUGGAGAGUACAGAUAUAGCUUAAGGGAGUCCUCUGUUCAGGGUUUCCCACUACAGUCAAGGUGUUGGCUGGGGCUGUGGUCUCAUCUGAGGUUCAAGAUCCUUCAAAUUCACGUGAUUGCUGGCUAAAUUAAUUUACUCACAACUGUAUAAACUCAUGGCAGCUUGCUUCUUCAAAGCUGGCAGGGGAUAAGACCGCUUCCCUCUAGACCCUUUUUUAAAGGGUUCACUUGAAUAAGCCAGACCCACCUGGGUCAAUCUCCCUUUUGAUUGAAUUAAAGCUGGCUGAUUAGAAACUUUAAUUACAUAUUCAAAAUCCCUUCACCUUUGCCAAACAUAUAAAGUAACCUAAUCACUAGAGUGCUAUCCCAUCGUACUCCUAGGUCUUGCCCAAACUCAAGAGAAGGAGCUUACAUAGGGUGACCAUGAAGAGCAAUAUUAGAAUUCUAUUACAAAUGCUAUCUCACAUUUCUAAGAUCACGUAUCAGCCACUAAGAGUAAAGUUGGGAAUUAGAUAAGUUAAAAAUGCUCAAGUCAUAUCCAAAUAAAAGCUCAUUAUCUAUGCAUAAUCCAUCAUGCCUAUUUUUCAGGAAAUCUAGAACCAUAAAAAUAAAGCUGAAAAUGACCUCAGUGCACUAAAUUCUCUAGCACUAAAUCAAGGUUCUCAGACAGAUGAUUUAUGCACAAUCCUGACUAUGUGGUUUUUCGGUGUUUUCCAGCAUGUUAAAUGAGCAGCAACUGCACAACAAAUGUCAGCAGGAAUGAUGCAGUAAAACAUGAAAAACACCUUUUUAAGAAGAAAUACACACCUCAAAAACAUGGCAAUCUGAGGUCAUCCAGUGUAGCAGACACAGACAUAGACUCUCCAUACUUCAUGAGAGCCUCAGACAUUGUCAUUGUGAGAAGACAGCCUUAUGGCAGAAAGUUCAAUUUUGUUCCAUGUACUCUGGUUAAGAUAGUAAGAAUAGACAUCGUUCAUCCUCAGAAAAAUUCUCCUUCAUAUAGUUGAUGUCAAGGGAUAGCUAAGCUUCAGUUAUUUGGAAAAUUAAUUUACACGGAAUGACUCGGAUGAAGCAGAAUGCAUGGCACUCUUGCAUAAGACUUAAAGAGUGUAUUUUCAGGUUGGGUAGUUCAAGAUGAGGAAUGUGGAAGGGGAACUCAGAGGUUAAGGCCAAAAUCCAGGUUAUGAAUGUCAUUGCUUCAGAGAAGGUGAGAGCAAUGAUAUCUGGAGCAAAAAGCCUUUUUGCUUGCUUUCUCAGCCUGGACAACCACUCAGCAGAGGGCUAUUUGGGGCCAAAGCUAAGCAGUUGACUUACUGGAGAAAGCUAUGCCAAGCUGUGGACUCAGCGACACAGCCCUGGAAGCCAAAGCAUGGGCCUCUGUCCUGACACAGCUCUUUCCCCCAAGCUAGUGGCUUUCCUGAAUUUCUGAAUACAGUUCAUCUGUUCUUCUGGGUGUCCAAGAGGUCAAGAAAAGGAGUUAUUUCACAGAUGGACUUUGCUUAACAGCAAAAAAUUGCUAUUUCCAAAGCAGUUAUAUAUUUGGGUUUUCUAAAUUUCCUGUUGUACUUCUUCCAACAAAGGAGAGGUAGAAACAUUCUCAGGGAAGGUGGAAAGUCCAAGGAAGAAAGCAAUAACAGGUCUCAAAAGGUGUUACCCUAGCCAGCCACUAAGGCAAUCAGCACACUGGAGAGAUAUGAUCACCAGUUCUAUGAUUUCCUAAUGCUCACAGGUACAUUUACAAAAUGAAUUCUCUUUUGAAAAAGUAUUACUUGUGCAUUUUGGACUUAAUCUGUACAAAACUUGACCUUCCUUCCCAAAGCUGCUCAUUUGGCACUCUUUCAGAUCUCAAUAAAUGGCAACCCUCAUCCUUGCCAUGAAUCUUGGGGGGUCAUCCUUGACUUCUCUCUCUCACCUCACAUCUAACCCAGUUUCAGAAUAUAUCCAGAAUCUAGCACUUCUCACCAUCUCCACUGCAACCUUCCCAACCCAUGCUACCACUAUCAUUUCUCCCUUGGAUCACCCUCCUAAAGGGUCUUCCUUCAUCAGGCCUUGAUCCUUUUUUGUCUCAUUCAGCAUAGCAGCCCAGGCGAUCCUGUUAAAUGAAAUAGAGUAUGUCACUCUUCUUAUCAAAACCUUCCAGUGGCUUCUAUUUCACUCCAUGGAAAAGCCACAGUCCUUACAGAAGCUUACAAGGCCUUACAACUACACCUUGCCCCCCACUUCCAUGACCUCAUCUCCUACAACUC
RNAcentral lists this long non-coding RNA (2667 nucleotides) under Canis lupus familiaris (dog). RNAcentral's name for it is "lncRNA (ENSCAFG00845020175.1)". Lineage: Eukaryota; Metazoa; Chordata; Mammalia; Carnivora; Canidae. The record is from RNAcentral.